AACGAACGCUGGCGGCAUGCCUAACACAUGCAAGUCGAACGAGACCUUCGGGUCUAGUGGCGCACGGGUUCGUAACGCGUGGGAACCUGCCCUUAGGUUCGGAAUAACUCCCCGAAAGGGGUGCUAAUACCGGAUAAUGUCUUCGGACCAAAGAUUUAUCGCCUUUGGAUGGGCCCGCGUUGGAUUAGCUAGUUGGUAGGGUAAAAGCCUACCAAGGCGACGAUCCAUAGCUGGUCUGAGAGGAUGAUCAGCCACACUGGGACUGAGACACGGCCCAGACUCCUACGGGAGGAAGCAGUGGGGAAUAUUGGACAGUGGGCGAAAGCCUGAUCCAGCAAUGCCGCGUGAGUGAUGAAGGCAUUAGGGUUGUAAAGCUCUUUUACCCGGGAUGAUGAUGACAGUACCGGGAGAAUAAGCUCCGGCUAACUCCGUG
RNAcentral lists this ribosomal RNA (433 nucleotides) under uncultured bacterium. RNAcentral's name for it is "partial 16S ribosomal RNA". It matches the Rfam family "Bacterial small subunit ribosomal RNA", at positions 29 to 507 of the family's 1533-position model. The record is from RNAcentral.